RNAcentral lists this ribosomal RNA (169 nucleotides) under uncultured Clostridium sp. RNAcentral describes it as "partial 16S ribosomal RNA". It matches the Rfam family "Bacterial small subunit ribosomal RNA", at positions 338 to 524 of the family's 1533-position model. Lineage: Bacteria; Bacillati; Bacillota; Clostridia; Eubacteriales; Clostridiaceae. The record is from RNAcentral.
CCUACGGGAGGCAGCAGUGGGGAAUAUUGCGCAAUGGGGGAAACCCUGACGCAGCAACGCCGCGUGGAGGAUGAAGGCCUUCGGGUCGUAAACUCCUGUCUUUGGGGACGAUAAUGACGGUACCCAAGGAGGAAGCCACGGCUAACUACGUGCCAGCAGCCGCGGUAAU